CACCGCCCGUCACACCAUGGAAGCCAGCUGUACCGGAAGUCGGUGCGCCAACCCGCAAGGGGAGGUAGCCGCCUAUGGUAUGACUGGUGACUGGGGUG
RNAcentral lists this ribosomal RNA (98 nucleotides) under uncultured bacterium. Its description in RNAcentral is "partial 16S ribosomal RNA". It matches the Rfam family "Bacterial small subunit ribosomal RNA", at positions 1388 to 1482 of the family's 1533-position model. The record is from RNAcentral.